AGCAUUGAUGAAAUACUGCUGUAAAAAUAGGAAGUGCCGUCUGAUCCGUUACAUGACGUACAUUCAUCGCAACAACAGCUGGCUGAAG
RNAcentral lists this small nucleolar RNA (88 nucleotides) under Oikopleura dioica. RNAcentral's name for it is "Small nucleolar RNA SNORD49". It matches the Rfam family "Small nucleolar RNA SNORD49". Rfam says of the family: U49 belongs to the C/D class of snoRNA which contain the C (UGAUGA) and D (CUGA) box motifs. Most of the members of the box C/D family function in directing site-specific 2'-O-methylation of substrate RNAs. The record is from Rfam by way of RNAcentral. Lineage: Eukaryota; Metazoa; Chordata; Appendicularia; Copelata; Oikopleuridae.